Molecule: ribosomal RNA, 500 nt
Filed under: uncultured Glomeromycotina
Lineage: Eukaryota; Fungi; Glomeromycota
Description: partial small subunit ribosomal RNA
Rfam family: Eukaryotic small subunit ribosomal RNA
Source: RNAcentral
CCAAUAGCGUAUAUUAAAGUUGUUGCAGUUAAAAAGCUCGUAGUUGAAUUUCGGGGUUAGUAAGUUGGUCGUGCCACUGGUAUGUACUGGCUUUACUGAUUCCUCCUUCUUGUAGAACCGUAAUGCCAUUCAGUUGGUGUUGCGGGGAAACAGGACUGUUACUUUGAAAAAAUUAGAGUGUUUAAAGCAGGCUAACGCCUGAAUACAUUAGCAUGGAAUAAUGAAAUAGGACGUUUGAUCCUAUUUUGUUGGUUUCUAGGAUUGACGUAAUGAUUAAUAGGGAUAGUUGGGGGCAUUAGUAUUCAAUUGUCAGAGGUGAAAUUCUUGGAUUUAUUGAAGACUGACUACUGCGAAAGCAUUUGCCAAGGAUGUUUUCAUUAAUCAAGAACGAAAGUUAGGGGAUCGAAGACGAUCAGGUACCGUCGUAGUCUUAACCAUAAACUAUGCCGACUAGGGAUCGGAUGAUGUUAAUUUUAUAAUGACUCAUUCGGCGCCUUACG